RNAcentral lists this ribosomal RNA (301 nucleotides) under uncultured bacterium. Its description in RNAcentral is "partial 16S ribosomal RNA". It matches the Rfam family "Bacterial small subunit ribosomal RNA", at positions 509 to 808 of the family's 1533-position model. The record is from RNAcentral.
CAGUCGCCGCGGUAAUACGUAGGUGGCAAGCGUUGUCCGGAAUUAUUGGGCGUAAGGGGCUCGCAGGCGGUUUCUUAAGUCUGAUGUGAAAGCCCCCGGCUCAACCGGGGAGGGUCAUUGGAAACUGGGAAACUUGAGCGCAGAAGAGGAGAGUGGAAUUCCACGUGUAGCGGUGAAAUGCGUAGAGAUGUGAGGAACACCAGUGGCGACGGCGACUCUCUGGUCUGUAACUGACGCUGAGGAGCGGAAGCGUGGGGAGCGAACAGGAUUAGAUACCCCCGUAGUCCCUGUCUCUUAUACA